GACGAACGCUGGCGGCGUGCUUAACACAUGCAAGUCGAGCGGUAAGGCCCUUUCGGGGGUACACGAGCGGCGAACGGGUGAGUAACACGUGGGUGACCUGCCCUCAGCUCUGGGAUAAGCCUGGGAAACCGGGUCUAAUACUGGAUAUGACUCCAUGACGCAUGUUGUGGGGUGGAAAGCCUUGUGCGGCUGAGGAUGGGCCCGNGGCCUAUCAGCUUGUUGGUGGGGUGANGGCCUACCAAGGCGACGACGGGUAGCCGGCCUGAGAGGGCGACCGGCCACACUGGGACUGAGACACGGCCCAGACUCCUACGGGAGGCAGCAGUGGGGAAUCUUGCGCAAUGGGCGAAAGCCUGACGCAGCGACGCCGCGUGAGGGAUGACGGCCUGG
RNAcentral lists this ribosomal RNA (390 nucleotides) under uncultured bacterium. Its description in RNAcentral is "bacterial SSU rRNA". It matches the Rfam family "Bacterial small subunit ribosomal RNA", at positions 28 to 419 of the family's 1533-position model. The record is from RNAcentral.